RNA transcript from Sceloporus undulatus (fence lizard), 7832 nucleotides. It is a transcript of the gene named SH3 domain and tetratricopeptide repeats 2, with no coding region annotated. The transcript has 18 exons. The record is from RefSeq and is a predicted model, not a curated record. NCBI's taxonomy places the organism in Eukaryota, Metazoa, Chordata, Lepidosauria, Squamata, Phrynosomatidae.
UAGGAAGCUGCAAACAGAUUCUGUUCCUCUCAGCUGUGGAAAUUUACUCUUUGACAAGUAAUUCCUCUUUUACCACUGAGUGAUAACCAUUUUUAUGUUGUCUUUUAAAAUGGUAGGUAGGGACCAGAGCACCAAGCUUGCUCCAAGGCUUCUUUGAGAUUCAUUUUAUCCUACACAUACAGCUGCUAACCAUCUGUACCUCUAAAGGUUUUUUUUUAAAAAAAGUUGAAAAUGGAGAUCCUUCCUUAGUGAAACUGUUGCUAAUUGUAUGGACAAAUGGAUUUACUACAAGACGUCUUGCCUAUCUGUUCAGGAAAUAUUCAGAUACAGGGCAUAGCAGCAGGUGAAGAGUCAUCCUCUAGUUCAUCGGCCCAGCCUGCAUUCCUGGCCAGUUGGUCCAAUUUGCAACAGUACUCAGAGGAACCCCGAGAAAAAUGUUUCCAAAAGGAGAAGAUGGCCUCAGGUAAUCCCAGGGAACUGGAUCCAGGAAGUCAGCCUGCACAGAUAGGAGAGGGAAUUCUGGAAACUGAAUCGGUGUCACUGGCUGUAGGGGAAGGGUUUCCAAAUGAGAUCGCCCUCUCAUUUACUGUCAAGAGUCGUUCUGGACAGGGCCACAAUCCCCAGCUACAGGAAGCAGCAAGAAAGAAGCUGUGGGCCCUGGAAAAUGACGAUAAAGAUGUCUGUGCUCUUUUCAAGGAGCUGUCAGCCAGGCUGGUGAGCAUCCAAGCCCAGGACAACCGCUUUCUACUCUCCUUCAGGACUGUAGAAGAAAUAUGGAAGUUUUCAACAUAUCUAGCUCUUGGCUAUGUGGGCUGCUGCUUGGAGCAUCUUCUCUUCACUUCAGAUUAUUGGUUGAACUGUGCUCUGGUGGAGGACACUGAGAUCACUGUCACUGUAGAUGAAGACCACAUGACCACUAUGUACCUAGGUCUUUUGCUCCAGGAAGGAAACUUCUUUGCCAGGGCAGUGUUCAGUGUCCUGGUAGAGGAGAAGGAGGAGGAUCUGAAGCUCUGCAAAAAUGAGCUAGUCCAUGUGAAAGAUGUUGGUCAUGAAACAAAAUGGGAAGGGAUAUCCCUCUUGACUGAUCAGAGGGGCCUGGUCUCUGUCACCGCCAUAGAGCCAUUGGCCCAUCCCUUUUACCAGUGGUUUCUGAAGAACUAUCCUUUGAGCUGUGGAAUCUCCAACCAAGUCAGUGGAGCUGAUUUUUUACAGAUUGGCCAAGGGAAGUGCACUGCCAUAGAGGAUCACAGAGGGAGAGGAUGGGAUGAGCUGAGCUUCUACAAAGAUGACAUCAUAGAGGUCAUUGGCUUUCUCAUUCCAGGCCUUCAGUGGUUUAUAGGAAAAUCAACAUCCAGUGGGACAAUAGGCUUUGUCCAAAGCAAAUGUGUGACUGCCGAGACUGAUGAUUCAAUUCACCAACAUAGGAGAAAGAGCUCUGUAUUUUUCAGUGAAGAAGAAGCCAGCAGCUUUUUGCAGGUUCCUUGGAAUGGCAGCGAGAUGCAUUACAGUAAUCUUCUCCAUGAAUGGGCAGAGACAGACAUUGCCUCCGUGUACAGGCUUGAUGGCUUCGAACCUGUGGCCAUGUACCCACAGACACCAUCAGGUGAGUAUGUAGGAAGGGGAAAAUGGGACACCUUUUGUGUUCCUGCAAUAUAUCACCUUGAGGAGAAGUAUCUCCUUGUGCCUUAUCUGUCUCUUUCAGGUGCAGUUGUAGAGGGACUUAAAGAUGGCUGGAUGUUCGAGGGUUGGGGGAAGCACUCUAGUAAUAACUUGUCCACUCCUAGUGAUUCUGAACAGUCCAGCCCAGUGGGUGAAUCUUCACCUUCUACUCUGGAACUACUUCUACCAGAACCAGAUGACCUUGAUGACCCCAAGUUCUUUAUUGACCUGAAUAUUGGCCACAUGGAAGACUGUGAUGUAUUUGACCCUAUACUGACUUUCCUCAACCAAAGCAGCUAUGUGACCCAUUUCCAAAGUCUGUAUGACCUCUCUUUUUCAUUCCUUAGUUCCACCUUCUAUGGCUUCUCCAGUGAGGAGGAGCUGGUCUUAUACCUGGAGACAUCCAGGAACUGGGCCAAGAGGGGUCAACUUGAUUGGGCUCACAUCCGGAUAUGUUUUCUCUUGGGCCGACUUUGUGUCAAGAGGGCCAAGUUCUCCCAAGCUCGGGUCUAUUUUGAGGAAGCCAUGAACACAAUGGACCAUGGGUUUGAAGAUCUGCCCCUCCUCACCUCAUUGCACAUAAACCUUGCUGCAAUUUAUCUGAAGCAGAAGAUGAAGCAAAAGUUCUUAUCUGUGGUUGGGAAAGGGGUGGCCCUCCUGGCUUGCUUACCUGGGCACUGCUUCAGCUCAGACAUUGAGCUUGAGGUGGUGCUGUACAUCCUAAGGGAAGCCAUGGCUAUGGGCAACACUGCUUUGGAAGCUCGUGCCUGUCUCCUUGUGGUCAAACUCUUCCUGCAGCUGGGCAAGUAUGAUGAGGUCUUGCCUUUUGCAGAACGUUUACAAUGCCUGUGUGCCAGUUUCUCCAGUCAAGACUCCACUGCAGCCUCCUUAGACACCAUGCCUAUUCUAACCUACCUGUAUGACAAGAAGUACUUGCCACACAUUGCCUUGGCAUCUGCAAGACUGUUUUCCCCCAACAGUAUUAAGGGGGCACUGACUCCCAUUUGGAGAGCUGGAUUCAUCCUUUCGAAUUCAUCAAAGUUUCUUAAAGUCCAAGAGAGAAGCACCACAAGUACUAGCACCCCUGCUUUGGCUUGCCUUUAUUUAAAUCAUGCAUUGGUCUUCUCCCAUGAAAAUGGUGCUAUGUCCACAGAAAGAGCCCUGUGCGCAGUUUUAUCCAAAAUGUACCUCAAGCAUGGCCUGCUGCAGGGAGCAGUGCAUUAUUCAAACAGAGCUGUUCUUCUUGGCAAAGCAAUGGGUGAGGAGGAAGCGUUUGAAUCCUCCCUUUUCUUGGGGUGGAUGCAUACUUUGAACAGUCAACCAGAAAAAGCAGUGGAGAUCAUGAUGCACCUCCUGCAUUCUUUGCAACAGACAGACGGUGUCACACAGGAUGGGGUGGUCCACAACCUUUUAGCCAUUGCCCUUAAAGGAGAAGGACACGUGCAGAAGGCAGCAGAAAACUACUUAUGGGCCUUGAAUAAAGCGCGAGAGACUGGCAACAGGCGGAACCAAGCUAUUGCAUUGUCCAACUUUGGGUGUUUGGCUGUCUCUUGCAGGGCAAACUGCUUAGCAGGGCACUAUUUUAUCCAGGCCAUUGAGUUGUACUUUGACCUCCAGGGUGGAGAUGAUGUACAGUUGGAGUUGGUGCAGAUUCUGCUGUGGUUGGCCCAAACACAGGUGGCGAAGCAUAAAGUGGAAGAAAGCAAACUGUUUUACGAACUGGCCUUGGCAGUUGCCUUGAAGACACGGAGUGUGAUGAGUCAGCUUCAUGCAACUGAGUCCCUCUGCCAUUUCUAUAGUGAAAUGUGUCCAAAUACUGAAGCCUCUAUUAUCUACCAUGAACACCAAGUUCUUCUAGCUCAACAACUCCAGGACAGAGAAAUGGAAGGGCAGCUUCUGCAGUCUCUCCAACAGCUCUACCAGAGUGUAAAUACAGCCAGAUCUUUGAAGCAGGCACUGGAUUGUACCAAGCAGAGUCUGAAGCUCUUCAUUGACAUGGAGGAAACAGUCAAGACAGCACAGGCCUGGUUACAGGCUGGGCAGCUCUACUAUCAAUUGCAAGAGGAUGAACUUGUGGAGAUGUAUUUGCAGGCAGCCAUAGAGACCGCACUGAAACCUGAAGAGCUUCACUUGGCCAUGGAACUGUAUGAAGAAGCUGGUGAUGUCUUCUUCAAUGGGAUCCGGAACAGACAACGGGCAGUGGAAUAUUACAGGGGAGGAGCUGUACCUUUGGCUAGGAAGCUGAAGGACCCAUGGACUGAACUGAGACUCUUCAACAAGCUGGCUGAGCUGCAGAUUGGACUCCAGAAUUAUGAGAAUGCACUGGAAUUUGCUACGUUGGCAGCCAGGCUCAGCGUGGAUGUAGGAGACCAGUGGCAAGAAGUAGUUGCCUUCCACCGCCUGGCAACUGCAUACUACCUUCUGCAAAUGUAUGAAAUGGCUGAAGACUGUUACCUGAGGACACUCUCUCUGCGCUCACCAUUGUUGCAAGGCACUCAGGAAGCCAUGUAUUAUUCUAAGGUCUAUUGCCGCCUGGGAGAUCUGACCCUGUGCAAAUUAAAGGAUGAACAAGAUGCCACCAACUAUUUCCUCUUAGCCUUGGCAGCUGCCACUGAGCUUGAUGACCAGGCCUGGCAGGGCAGGAUUCAGGCCAGGUUGGCUCAAAUAUACAAUGCUUCCCACUCAGAUAAGAGCCCAAGAGGAUGGACUACAUAUCGGGCCCGAUGGCUAAGUGAAGGGAGACAGGAUGUAUGACAGAUCACCUUAUGGGACUCAAAAGCUCCAAAGACCGGCAGUGCCCAUCUCCUUACCUUACUGCCAAAGAGCUUCCAGGUGCUUCCUAGGCCGUGAAUGAAGGGGAAGUUCAGGUCUCAAUACUUCCAUGUUCUGUGUUUUUAAAUUCAGUGGUGAAAGAAACUUACCUCUUGCCAGAUUCAUCUGUGACUGACUCACUGGAUGGACAGACACCCCACCUUCAACCUCUACUGUGCGUGUUAUUCUUCUUUGAGUCUAAAUCCUGAACAGGUCACUUCAGUAAUCCUAAUAAUAUUCAUAUUUAUUGAUUCAUUCUCAGCCACCCACCUGUCAGUGAUAUUUUAAAAAAUGGUUGAAAUGGGGGAAAAAAAGAUGCUUACAAAAAUGGUAAAAAGUGUUGGGUUCUGGUGUUUGAAGGAGAAAGUUUGCAAAUAAAUCUUUGCAGAUUUUCUUUGAACAACCUUUCAGAUUAUUACAGAGAGAAACUCAAAUAUGUAAUGACACAUGUAAGGAUGAUUGCUCAAAUUUUGGGGAAUAUUAAUUAGCUCAACACACCAAUAUUGGGCUCCUUACAAAUCCCCUUUCUGGGACCGGAUCCCAACCUGUAUACCAAUGGACCAGAGCUUCCAGGAACUGACACAAAGGCAAAGUCUUUGAAUUUUAAGCUAGUUUAUUGAUGCACAGGGGAGGGGGGGCACACUCACACACAUACAUUCACUCAAGGCUAAUAGAAGAAAGGGAGGAAAAGUGGAGAGAGAACACAAGGCCUUCUAAUGGUAGAUACUUGCCUGAGAUGGUUUCCCUCAGAAUCAAGGUAGUUGCAGCAACACAAUGAAGGGAAAUGGGAAAAGGGGUGUGUGGAACCAUGCCAGGAAAAGCAGACUGACAGAGUGCCUGCCUGCCACCAACAUGGAACCCAGAACAAAAGAAAAACUGAACCUUAAAUAGGUUCCUAGUCACAUACUCAGUGGAAGCUGUUGUCCCAUAUCAAAGCAAAACCAAAUUUACACAUCACUUGAUCCAUAGGCAUCCUCUGCCAUGGGAAAACUAUAGAUACCGGAAUGGCUUGUAUCUGUGAAACAUCUCCCAGUCAUAAAUCUGUCUCAUAGGUGUGAAGGAAUCUUCCUGUUUGCAAUUCCUAACUAAGGCUUGCUGCCUACGUGGUCUCUCUGUUUUCAGAUCAUGGCAGCCAAGGGGCAUCUUCCAUAAUGCCUUUCCAUUAGGGUCAUAAGGAGACAUAUCUUCACACUAUAGAUGCAAGACUUGCUUAGAGGCCUCUAUGAUCAAGCGAUGCCACCUGAUUACCUCCGCAGAUGAAUUUUGGAAUAGGGAUUUGUGGGGGUAUUUUUAUAAAAUUCCAGACUUGUUAACAACGUUAUAGCCUAAGAUAAUAGAAAUUAAUUUGAAACUGGAAAAGUGUUAUUUGAAUAGUAAGAUCUUUUAUAAAACACAUAUGAUUCAGUAUUCUGGAUUCAAGAAAACACUCAGUUGUACACUUCAUCUUUUUCUUCAUGGGUCUAAGGAAACCAAGUUAAAAUAAUUUGUAUGUGCUUUCCUUAGUAAUUAAUUAUGCCUUGUAUGUAUAUGCCAGUUUUGUAGAUGGGCUUACAGGCAUAGAUAUGGCUUUCUCUGCAGAGUUAAGUGUGUCUUCAUAUGAACUACUGAUGGGGAAACCACAUGAAUUAUCUGGAUAAGUGACAGGGUACUAAUUUGUUUCCCUUUGCUUGUUUUAGUAGAUCUUAUUUUUAAACAACUCAUACUGUUUUAACCUUAAUAUAUGGUUUCUAAACAUAUGGGUCUGCUAGUGCUAGAACUCUUUUUAUAAUAACAUGAGGUUGCAGUUGUCUGCACCUGGAACAGGUAAUGAUCUGACCAAGAAGUAUGUUCUCUUUCUCUCUCUCGACUUCAUAAUAGUUUCCUUUCAUGUGUAUUUCGGCAUACAUUCCAGCUAUAGAAUUAAAUUGAAUUAAAUUUUUAAAUUCUUUCAGACAUUCAGUUUUCAUGAACAACGUUUAUGUUUCCUUAAAUUUGUUCUAACUUAAAAGAAAAUGGAGUUGAAAAAAUAUUCUUUUUAGACUGGUGUCCAAUAUGAACUCACUAAUUUGACACAUGAAGGAGAAUCCCAGUCAUGUUUACUUAGAAAUAAUUGUUACUAAAUUCAAUGCCUCUUGCUUUCUAGCAAAUCUGAUUUGGACAUGCAGCAUUUGCUCUAUUUAAAUACACUCUUGGUUGUUGGAAACUGGCACAUUUCCAGUAGAGUAAGUGGAUGCACACACCAGCUGAGAAUGUAACCUAAGAAUGUUAACCUUAUGUGGCCCCUUUAAUUCACAGCAAAGUAUCCUCUAUAGCCUGGGAAAAAUCAACGACAUGAAUUUCCCAUUUGGGAAUGUACCACGUGGCAUUGUUUCCCUCUCUGUCUCCCUUGACAUAUCUGAGCUGUCUUCAUAAUGUGAUCUGAGAUCUUAACUGACCAGGGACCAGCACAUAUGAUAGCUAUUAUAAUUGCUUGAAAACAGAUUGGACAUUCACUAAGACACUAUGUAUGCUGGUUUUCCAAUCACUCUUCUCCAGACAGAAGGUUUGGUAGCAUGAAAACACUGAGUUCUUUUAUGUGCCAUUUGUCACCCCCCACCUGAAGGAGGUGUGGGGUAAGGAUGGUGUGGGCCUCAUAACUCCAGGACUGUGAAACAUGGAUACCAGAAAUUUCUGAAUGAAUACUAAGGGAAACUCAGAAGUGUGUACACUGGGGUUGUUUUGUUUUUAAAAUGGAUUAAUUAGUUUUAGUUGAUUACAAUCUGUUUCAGUACAUCUUCAGUACAUCAUUAUUCACUAGGCAGCAACAUCACCUAGCCUUCCAAAAUCACCAGAGGCAAACCUGGAAGCAGGCCUGGGAUAAUUAUGUCUUCACAGGGCCUGUGAUAAUUUUGGUAUGUGGUACUUUUCUGCAUUGCCACUUAGUUCUUCAAGGAGUUGCCAGAAAAACAGAAAAAGAGGGAAAGAAUGGCCUACUGCCUGAAAAGCUUAGAGCAGGGAAGGUCGUGAGCAAAUGGAAAGCGUGAAUAAGUAUGAGGAGAUGGAGAAAGAGAAAUUCAGCAAGAAAUUGAAAGAAAAUGGAAGGAAAAAAGCCAAGAGAAAGAGGCAGAGCAUCAAGAUGGGCUAGGGACAGGGGCUAACCCUUGGAAAUCUUGUAUGUCUGUUAUGUAUGUCUGAAUGUGUGGAAGAGGAACUAAUGCCCAUAUCAGUACACUGUCCAGUGUUAUAAUUUUCUUUGUUAAUGAUAUGAUGAAAAUGAGCUGAUGAAAUUACUGUGAUAACAGCAAGAAUUUCUCUGCACCAGUGAUGACUACAAAAUUGAACAGCAUGAUCCCGUGAACUGAGUGGUGGACACUGUGGGAAUGGAACAAAAUGUAAACCUGAAU